This is an RNA transcript of Acinonyx jubatus (cheetah), 18959 nucleotides long. It is a transcript of the gene named RUN and SH3 domain containing 2, with no coding region annotated. The record is from RefSeq and is a predicted model, not a curated record. The transcript is spliced from 13 exons. NCBI's taxonomy places the organism in Eukaryota, Metazoa, Chordata, Mammalia, Carnivora, Felidae.
ACCCGUCUGGAGAGGAGGGGGGCGCCGGCCUGUCCCAGCUGCAACGCGACCCCAGAGGGGCGCGAGACGCCGCCGGCCGCGCCGCCGCCUCCACCAACGCCGCGGGCACCGUAGGAUCACGCUGAGAAGAGAAACGAGGUGCCAAGCUCUCCUGAUGAAAUGUGUUCUGCCCCACUGGGCUCCAGGGGCAGUGUCUGGUGCUGUUGAUGCCCUUGUUCGAAAUUUCCAGAAUGGAUAGUCCCCCAAAGCUGACUGGAGAGACCCUCAUCGUCCACCACAUCCCCCUGGUGCACUGUCAAGUCCCAGACAGACAGUGCUGUGGAGGGGCAGGUGGGGGUAGUGGGAGCACAAGAUCCAAUCCCUUCUGCCCACCUGAGCUGGGCAUCACCCAGCCUGAUCAAGACCUAGGACAAGCUGACUCGCUGCUAUACAACAGUCUGCACUCUGCUCCGGGGGGAUCUGCGCGGUCUGCAGACAGCACGAAGAGUAGGGUGCGGGAUGGAAGAGGCCCCGGGGCCCCUAAACGACACAAUCCCUUCCUGCUACAGGAAAGUGUGGCUGAGCCAGGACUUGGUGACCUAUAUGAUGACAGCACUGGUGAUAGUGCCACCCAGCAGUCCUUCCACCUGCAUGGGGCUGGUCAGCCCACCUUACAUCUGUCCCCUUUCCAGCUGCCACCACCUGGCCCUAGAGUGAGCAGGCCAUGGGGGGCAACACGUAGUCGGGCUGGAGUAGUGGAAGGGCAGGAGCAGGAGCCAGUGGCCACCUUGGAUACCCAGCAGUGCAGCACCAGCCACUGCUGCCGGCCAGAACUGGAAGCGGAGACCAUGGAACUGGAUGAGUGUGGGGGGCCUGGUGGGAGUGGCAGUGGGGGUGGAGCCAGUGAUACCUCUGGCUUUUCCUUUGAUCACGAAUGGAAACUCAGUUCAGAUGAAUCCCCAAGGAACCCAAGAUGCUCAGGCUCAGGACCUCAGCACUGCCGCUGCAGUAGCACAUCCAGUCAGUCUGAGGCGGCUGACCAGUCCAUGGGCUAUGUGAGUGACUCCUCCUGCAACAGCUCAGACGGUGUGCUGGUCACCUUCAGCACCCUCUACAACAAGAUGCAUGGCAACUCCCGUGCCAAUCUCAACUCCGCCCCACAGUCUUGCAGCAACUCUUCCUUCUGCAGCCACUCAGACCCUGGCGCCUUCUACCUGGACCUGCAGCCCUCCCCAGCUGAGUCUAAGAUGUCUUGUGAGUCCCACCACCCCGACAGUGGGGGAAGGGAGGGGAGCUAUGGCUGUCCUCAUGCCUCGUCUCCUGAGCUCGAUGCCAACUGCAACUCCUACCGCCCACACUGUGAGCCCUGCCCAGCUGUGGCUGACCUCACAGCCUGCUUCCAGAGCCAGGCCCGUCUUGUUGUGGCCACACAGAAUUACUAUAAACUUGUCACCUGUGACCUGUCCUCCCAAUCAUCCCCAAGCCCAGCUGGCUCUUCCAUCACCAGCUGCUCUGAGGAACACACCAAGAUAAGCCCGGCACCAGGCCCUGGUCCAGACCCUGGCCCCAGCCAGCCCUCUGAGUAUUACCUAUUCCAGAGGCCAGAAGUCCAGCCAGAGGAGCAAGAAGCAGUGGGUUCCUCAGUGGAAGCAGCAGCUCCUGUGGGCCCUGCUGUGAUCGAGGGGCAAGUGUACACUAACACUUCGCCCCCCAACCUUAGCACUGGACGCCAGCGCUCUCGAAGCUGUGAUCGCACCCUGGCGCGCAGCCCUCCUGUCCGCCUGGGCUCACUGGAACGCAUGUUGAGUUGCCCAGUGCGCCUGAGUGAGGGUCCUACAGCCCUCGCUGGGCCUGGCUCCCCGCCUAGGCGGGUCACCUCCUUCGCCGAGCUCGCCAAAGGCCGGAAGAAAGCUGCAGGCUCUGGCUCUCCGCCACUUCGACUGAGCAUCGGAGAGUCCUCCCAGGAGUUCUCACCCAUCCAAGAAGCCCAACAAGAUAGGGUGGGCCCACUGGAUGAGGGCGUUCGCUGUAGCCAUAGCCUACCACCCAUGCCUUCGGGGCCAGGCAUGGACCUAGUUGGCCCAGAGCCCUGGUCCACCCAGGUCUGUCAGGGCCCCCAGUCCAAUGAGAUGCCACCUACUGGCCUCAGAGCUGCUGGGCAAGGCCCCCUGGCCCAGCUGAUGGAUCCAGGGCCUGCUCUCCCAGGGAGCCCAGCCAACAGCCAUACACAGAAGGAUGCAAGAGCUAGAGCUGACGGAGGUGGUGCUGAGAGCCGACCAGUCCUUCGCUACAGCAAGGAGCAGAGGCCUACCACGCUGCCCAUCCAGCCCUUCGUGUUCCAGCACCACUUCCCCAAGCAGUUGGCCAAGGCCCGAGCCCUCCACAGCCUUUCCCAGCUCUACAGCCUCUCUGGUUGUGGCCGUGCACAGCAGCCUGCCCCACUGGCUGCCCCCACUGCUCAAGUUCCAGCCUUAGCUCCCUCAGGGGAGUCACAGGCACCCACCAACAGAGGUGCCAGGAAAGCUGGUCCUGAGCUAGAAACCUCACGGCCGUCACCCCUGGGUAGCUACUCUCCCAUCCGCAGUGCUGGCCCCUUUGGGCCCAGCACCGAUUCUUCUGCUUCCACCUCGUGCUCCCCUCCUCCAGAGCAGGCCACAGCCACAGAAAGCUCACCCCCAUGGAGCCACUCCUGUCCUCCUGUUGCCCGGCCUGCCACCUCGCAGCAGCCACAGAAGGAGGAUCAGAAGAUACUGACCUUGGCUGAGUACCGUCUCCAUGGAACAGGAAGUUUGCCUCCUCUGGGCUCCUGGAGAUCUAGCCUCAGUCGAGCAGAAAGUCUAGCCCGGGGAGGUGGUGAGGGCAGCAUGGCCUCCAGGCCCAAUAAUGCCAACCACCUGUCCCCUCAAGCACUCAAGUGGCGGGAAUACAGGAGGAAGAACCCACUAGGGCCACCUGGAUUGUCAGGGAGCCUAGACCGAAGGCCGCAGGAAGCUCGACUGGCCCGAAGGAACCCCAUCUUUGAAUUCCCUGGCUCCUUCAGUGCUGCUGGCCAUCUGAACUGCCGGAUGAAUGGUCAAGUAGUAAAGCCAUUACCACUGACCUGCCCUGACUUCCAAGACCCCUUUUCCUUGACUGAGAAGCCUCCAGCUGAGUUUUGUCUGUCCCCAGAUGGCAACUCAGAGGCCAUUUCCAUUGACCUACUUCAGAAAAAAGGGCUGGUGAAAGCAGUUAACACUGCUGUGGACCUCAUUGUGGCCCAUUUUGGCACAAGCCGGGAUCCUGGGGUGAAGGCAAAGCUGGGGAAUAGUUCUGUGAGCCCCAAUGUGGGCCACCUGGUUCUGAAGUACUUGUGCCCUGCGGUCCAGGCUGUGCUGGAGGAUGGGCUCAAGGCCUUUGUGCUAGAUGUCAUCAUUGGGCAACGUAAGAACAUGCCGUGGAGUGUGGUUGAGGCUUCCACACAGCUGGGCCCGUCUACCAAGGUCCUGCAUGGCCUCUACAACAAAGUCAGCCAAUUCCCAGAGCUCACCAGUCACACCAUGCGUUUCAACGCCUUCAUUCUUGGCCUGCUCAACAUCCGGUCCCUGGAGUUCUGGUUUAACCACCUCUAUAACCACGAAGAUAUCAUCCAGACCCACUACCAGCCGUGGGGCUUCCUGAGUGCAGCACACACUGUGUGCCCCAGCCUCUUUGAGGAGCUGCUGCUGCUGCUACAGCCCCUGGCCCUGCUGCCCUUCAGCCUUGACUUGCUGUUCCAGCACCGGCUGCUGCAAAGUGGGCAGCAGCAGCGGCAGCACAAGGAGCUGCUGCGGGUGUCCCAGGACCUACUGCUGUCCGCCCACUCAACAUUGCAGCUGGCCCGGGCUCGGGGCCAGGAGGGCCCUGGAGACACGGACAGGGCAGUCCAUGGGGAGCGGGUGAAGGGUGUGGGUGCCUCAGAAGGUGGAGAGGAUGAAGAGGAAGAGGAGACAGAAGAGGUGGCAGAGGCAGCUGGGGGCCCAGGGCGUGGCAGGUGGGCCCGAGGUGGGCAGGCCGGCUGGUGGUACCAGCUCAUGCAGAGUUCCCAGGUCUACAUCGAUGGCUCAGCUGAGUGCUCUAGGUUCCCCCGUGGUGGCAGCAGUAGCAGCAGUGAGAAAAAGAAAGGGUCAGGAAGUGGGGGGCCACCCCCUCGAGAGGGAGUAGUCGAGGGGGCGGAGGCCUGCCCUGCCCCUGAGGAGACCCUUGGCCGGGAUAGGGGCUGGCCCUUCUGGAUGGGGAGCCCACCUGAUUCUGUGCUGGCUGAGCUGAGGCGCAGCCGGGAGAGGGAAGGGUCCAUUGCCCCCUCAGCAGAAAAUGAGGAAGGAGCCUCAGAACCUUCACCUGGGGGCAUCAAGUGGGGCCACCUCUUUGGCUCCCGAAAGGCUCAGCGUGAGACCCGGCCCGCAAACAGGCUACCCUCUGACUGGCUGAGCCUGGACAAGUCCAUGUUCCAACUAGUGGCACAGACAGUGGGUGCCCGCCGGGAGCCAGAACCCAGGGAGAGCCUGCAGGAGCCACCCUCUCCAGCUCUGCCCUCCAAGCCUCCAUGCGAGGUGAAGGCACUGUGCCAUCAUCUGGCCACAGGCCCUGGACAGCUGAGCUUCCACAAGGGAGAUAUCCUCCGGGUGCUGGGGCCAGCUGGAGGAGACUGGCUGCGCUGCAGCCGCGGCCCCGACACCGGCCUGGUGCCACUGGCCUAUGUGACCUUGACCCCAACUCCAAGUCCAACCCCUGGAAGCAGCCAAAACUGAGGCCCUGUGCAUGUUGGUGGCCUCAGGGACCCUCAUAACCCCCAACUCAGAGCCUGAGAGCCCUUCCCAAGCCCUCUGGCUUGGCCACAGAGAGCAGACUAAGAGCUGGGGGCCAUACAUCCCUGUGCUCAGUAUUAAUUACUCCCCGUUAACUGUCCCAGUGACCUCAUCCAGACCUCCACCCCGGAAAGGAGGGAAGGGAUGCAGCACUGGGCUGCCAGGAUUUCCCCAGCCAUCUGGGCUGGCCCUCCCAUAGGUACAGAUAAGCAUGUCCCUAUGCAGGGAGGUGACCAGAGGCCCAUUUGCAGGGUUUCCUAGGCCAGGUGGUGAGGAGGAUGGGUGACAGUAUUGGGGCCAGCUCCCUAAGCCCCCAAAUGUAAAUAGGCUGUGGCCAGUGCCUGGUGGUCAGAAGAGGGAGGAGGAGCCCAGACUUCUGUUUAUGUAUUUAUUUAUUUAUUUAUUACACCUAUUAAUAAAAAAGGUGCUCGGCCUCCAAACCAUUUUUCUUUGUGCCUCCCCCCACCCUGCGGCCCACCUCUCUUCCUUGCCAAAGGAUGGCUGGGAUAGGAAGAAAGGGAAGACAGAACCUGAAGUCCAGGUACCUAUACCAGGAGCUGCUUCUGGAGGGUGCUGAGGCCCAGUGCAUCAUGGGUGAGAUGCCCAUACGUGCGACCGAACUGGAACUUAUACCCUAUAUGGACAAGACAGUCUGUCACUUGUAGCUGGUAGCAUGGAAAAGCCAUUUAUUUCUCAGCCAGUGCCUAAGCCCUCCAAAAUCUUGUCCCACCUUCCACUGUGGGCUACCUCCGUUUCCUUUUCUGCGCAGUGGUAAGCUGAACCACGUGAUCCAAGCCCCCCCUCCAUAUCUAUUAGUUCCAACCCCCCAAACCACCUCCACCCGUGCCACACACGUACAAACACUCUGGUCCCCGAAGCUUCCCUCUGGGGCUAUCCUCACCUGGCACAUAGCCCCCAUAGUUAGGUAACAGGCCCAGGUUCUGAGGGUAGGUCCUAGAAAGUGGGGGGAGAUGUUUGGGAUCCCUCUGGGAUCUGCCCCUUGAAUACAUCUGUCCAAAUUCCUGCAGUGCCCGGUUGGUGAGCGCAGGAAAGCUGGAGCCGAAGAGGAAGCGGGCCCGGGGCACGUAACCAGUGAAGCCUAGGGGGAUGGGGAUACUGAGUCAGGACCUCCUGGGAGCCUCCCCAUGCUUUUGAUCAUUACCCACUUCCUCUCACCUGGCAUGAAGAACUUGCGAGGAUCUUUGUCAUCCAUGGAAUAGGGGGAAGCCUUGUGAGGGGAAGUUGAUAGAGAAAAAAUAAGGGCAUCAAAUUCAGCUCCUGUGCUCUACCAGAAGCUCCCUGGGAGCUGGAGCUGGCAGUCAGGCCCAUACUCCCUGUACCCAGAGUCAUGCUACUCAUGGCCACCCCUAGGCCUGGUCACACUACCAACUCCCCCUGCACUCUCUCCAGCCUUGUUGGUCUCACUUGUUCUGCCUCUUGCCCCGGCUCCAGCUCCUUCUCUGCCUCCAGCUCUGACUCUGGCUUUGGUUCUUGGUCUUUCCCCAUGUCUUUUUCUUCCUUGGCUUCCUUCGGCAGUUCUUGACUCCUUUGUCCCCCAGACCACUGAGUGAAAUCAUUCAGAGCCUCAGCCCAGACCUGGCUACAGUUCUUGGCAAAGAGGAACUGUGCCUGGGGUACAAAACCUGGGUGGGAGGGGGCAAGGAGGAUUUCAAUUAGUGUUUGGGGCACAUGUUCUGGGACAGGGACACCUAUUCAGACCAGACAUACAUACCUGUGUACCCUGGGAUCAUGCUGGAACUGAGCCUUUCAUGUCCACGCCUGACAGGCGGUCUUCCUCUGGGAACCUCAGGAGAUGGUGGAGGCCGGAUGGGAGGCAGAAGUGUGCGAUGGGCAGGGGGCCAGGCCAGGCCAGGAACUCCUCGAAGUAGCUGACCAGUCAUCUGCCCAUAGGUCUGGCCCAUGCUGAACCGAAGUAGUGGGCAGUGUCCGGUGUACCUGUAGCACAGGACCCCCCCCCCCCGACUCACCUCCAGUCUCCCUCUGCUCCAUCACCCCCAGAGAUAGACACAGAGACCUCUGAAGCCCUGAUUUUUUUUUCUGGAUUCAGCUGUGUGCCUGUGCAGGCAUUUCUCGGUUCUCUAGGUUUUCAACCCUUCCCCUCUGCUGUUACCCUGUUACCAUAGAGAAGACAACAGAGUUUUGUGGCAGGCCCAGCUACCACUAUUGCCUUGCUUUUCCUUUUCCAUCAAACACCAUAAAUAUCCCAGCCCUGGGCCUCCCAAAUACCAGUAUGUCUACUUGACCUCCAAGAUCUAAGUGGCACAAUUCCCAUAUCCCUAUAUGCCUAUUUCCAGAAACAAGCAGAAGUCUUACCCUGGGAUAUAAUGAGGGUUCUGGGGGUUCAGCCCUGGUAUGAAGGUGCUGGCCAUAGCCAUGGGGAUCCAGGCAGUUCCUUUUGUUUCCCUUGGAGCCCAAACUCUGGGCUCUGUGUACUGUGUCCAGGGCUGUGGGGUGGAGCCAGAGGCAGGAGGCAGUGCCAGGGGAGGAGAGAGGAGGAGGCAUUAGUUUGAUCACUGCCAGGGCAAAGGCCAGUGAAACAGGAGAGCAGGGACUCACUGGUUUGUCUACUCCAGAACAAAUGCAGUCGGCCAAGUGGGGCAGGGAAAAGUCUGAGUAGGGCCUCCCCAUUCCAGGAAGGCCUAAGGUGGGAAGGGAAAGAACAAAAACUGUUAGGUCCACUCAGCUCUAUCAUAAAAGAAGACCCUUCCUUCUUAAGCCUCCUGCCUGAAGACAUGUGGGUGCUACUCUUUGUGAGUCUUGGUUGGAGGUGAUAGAGUUCCUGGGAAAAGAGGUCUCUGAGGGAAGCCCAGAGGGGAGGUCACAGGGAGAAAAAGGAACCUAGGGACCUCAAAGCAGUGACAUUGUUUAUUUUCAGUAAUUUAAUCUGAUGAAUUAUUUAUUGAUUACCCACCAUAAUCUGGAUCAUCAUUCAACAAAUUAUGCCAUGCUUUCCUACACACAUUCUGUAGUCAGAAGAGCUAAACUCCACAUGACUUUGGGCAAGUCAUUUAGUGUCUCUGAACCCCACCAUCAUUUACAAAAUGUAGAUACUAGGACUCACCCUGCUACUGUUGUGAGGCUAAAAUUAAUAUAUACAAAUGUGUUUUGUAAUAGUAAAGACCAUGAAGUCAGAAGAGAGGAAGGGUAGGAGAAAGAGCAUGGGCAUGAGGUCACACAGUCAUGCGCUCCUAACAGCUUGUGGCCUUGAGCCAACCUUACCUUUUGUGAGCAGGCAACUUAACUUCUGAACCUGAAUUCCCUAAACUCUAACACGAAAGUUAAAAUAACCCAACCUAUCAGGAUGCUGUUAAGGAUAAAGUCAGUGUGGGAAAGAAUUUACCCCAGGCACCUGGUACACAGCUACUAAAACUUAAUUUUCUUCCCUAUUGUCUAAUACUUUCUCAAAGCUUCUAACACAUAUGGGAGAUCUGUGACUGGUUAGUAAAUUCAGUGGAUAUUGGUUUUCCUAAUGUGGGAGGUCACGGAAAGGAGAUACGACAGUAAUGUUGGGUUUUUAAGACUAGGGUUUUAAGAACAAAUUAGAAUUUGUUAAGAAAACAAUUCAGGGGGCACCUGGCUGGCUCAGUCAGUAGAGCAUGCAACUCUUAGUCUCAGGGUUAUGAGUUCAAGCCCCACACUGGCUGCAGAGCAUAUUUAAAAAAAAAAAAAAAAAAAAAAAGGAAGGGGUGCCUGGGUGGCUCAGUUGGUUAAGUGUCCAUCCGACUCUUAACUUUGGCUCGGGUCAUGAUCUCAUUUUUUGUGGGUUUAAGCCCUGUGUCAGGCUCUGCACUGACACAGCAAGGAGCCUGCUUGAGAUUCUCUCUCUCUCCCCUCUCUGUCAAAAUAAAUACAAACUAUAAAAAAGUAGGGGAGGCACCUGAGUGGCUCAAUUCUUUAAGCGUCCAGCUCUUGAUUUCAACUCAGGUCAUGAUCUCACGGUUCAUGGGAUCGAACAGCGCAGAGCCUGCUCACAUUUUCUCUCUUCCCUCCCCUGCUCACUCUCUCUCUCUCAAAAUAAAUAAACAUUUAAUUUUUUUUUUAAUUUUAAAAAAAAGGAGGGGGAAAACAAUUCGGAUUCUAAGAGGAGUACAGACCAGAAAGAAGAGAUCUCAGGGGUGCCCGGGUGGCUCAUUUGGUUAAGCGUCUGACUUUGGCUCAGGUCAUGAUCUCAGAGCUCAUGAGUUUGAGCCUUGUGUCAGGCUCUGUGCUGACAGCUCAGAGCCUGGAACCUGCUUCAGAUCUGUGUCUCCCUCUCUCUCUCUGCCCCUCCCCCACUUGUGCUCUGUCUCUCUCUAUCUCUCUCUCCCAAAAAUAAAUAAACAUUAAAAAGUUUUUCUUUAAAAAAGUAAAAAUAAAUUUAAAAAAUUUUUUUAAAUAAAGGAGAUCUCAGAAGGGAGCAUGACUGGAACUCAGCUCUGGGGCUGAGUCAGGGCCAGGUCAGUACACCUUUCCAGGAGGCAGAGCCUCUGCUCUUCCCCCUACCCAACUGACAGUGCCCAGGCUGACCAAACACAUGUCACUGACCUGGGGAUUACACAAGAACACUGGGCCCCAAGGAAUACAUUUCACGUUCCUUGCUGUUCUGCCAAAGACAGCCUUGGAAUGUGUCCUUUAGAGCUAGAGUUGUAGGGGACUUGACUCACUAUUAAGGAAAUACGCUAGAUGGGGAUGGGAACUGAGGGGAGAGCCCAGAAAAGUAACAGUGUGUCAAGGUUAACAACCUGGACUUGGGGAUUCCCUAACAGAAUCCAACCCGACUAUUGGUUGCACACUGCGUACCUGUUCCCUACUCCCAUCUCCUUCUUCCUAACAGAACCUUAAUUCUGUCCUGUGGAGCAGCCAGAAACUUCAGGGAAGCUUGGAGCCAGCCCUGGGAAUGAGUCUUAAUUAGUCUAAGCCCAUAAUAGUGAUCCUGUCCCCUUGCCGGCAAUUAGUUAGGCAUGGGCUGGUGGCAUUCUGGACAAUAAAGGGAAGUCAGCCAGGAUGAGAAAGGGUCCCAAGAAAAGUAAGCAAUGUAAAAUGCUGUUUAAAAAGAUGCAUAACAGAGGUGCCUGGGUGGCCAGUCAAGUGUCUGACUUUGGCUCACGUCACGAUCUCACAGUUCAUGAGUUCGAGCCCCACGUCAGGCUCUGUGCUGACAGCUCGGAGCCUGGAGCCUACUUUGGAUUCUGUGUCUCCCUCUCUCUCCGCUGCUACCCUGCUUGUGCACAUGCUCUCUGUCUCUCUCUUUCUUUCUCUCUCUCUCAAAAUAAAUAAAUGUUUUUUCAAAAUCUUAAAAAAAAAAAAGAUGCAUGACAAAUUAGAGAAAGAGAGAUGGACAAGAAGGAAUAAUGUCCCUUCCCGCCUCUAGAAAUUAUAUGGACAUGAUGACAGAACUUUGGUAGGCAUCAUGAAACUUUGUGGAAUGCAAAGCUAAUCUGAGGACAAAACCUGAAUACAGCAAGGAUGGGUGGUAAAGUAGAAAGGCCUGGGUCCUUGAUGAGCUACUGAAUUAAUCAACCUUUUUUUUAAUGUUUAUUUAUUUUGAGAGAAUGAGCAAGCAUAAGUGGGGGAGGGGCAGAUAGAGGGGGAGAAAGAGAAUCCCACCCAAGGGGGCUCUGUGUUGUCAAUGAGGAGCCCUAGAAGGGGCUCAGUCCCAGGAACCAUGAGAUCAUGACCUGAGCCAAAAUCAAGAGUCAGGUGCUUAACCAUCUGAGCCACCCAGGCGCCCCUUAACCAAUCUUUUUAUGUGAAAUAAUUAAUUUCAUUAUUGUUAAGGCCAGUUUAAGUUUUCUUUUACUUAGAGCCCAAGCAUCAUACAUAAAAAUAAAAACAAAAACAAACAAACAAAAAAAAACUAGUUCAAAUUCUAGCUUCACUAGAGAUAUGGACCUUAGCCAAAUUCAUCUCAUUAACCCUCAGUUUUCUUAUCCAUAAAAUGAGGACAUUACUAUUACUUCUUCUUUGAGUAGGACAAAAUAGAUAACAGGACAAGAUAGUAGCACGAGAUGAUACAAAAAGAGAAACUGGCCCAUGCUUAUGUUAAGUGCUAACUAAACAGCAAUUCAUAGUGUUUGGUUGGAAUUUGUUGGGAAUGGGAGACAGGAAAAGAGCUGAGAACAGUAACAGAGGUUGGGGGCUCAGGGGAAAGAGUGUGAAGCUGAGAAAAUGAAAGUUCAAACUUAAGUUGGAGUAUACAUUAGAAUGUAGAGACUAGGGACACCUGGGUGACUCAGUUAAGCGUCUGACUUCAGCUCAGGUCAUGAUCUCACAGUUUGUGAGUCCGAGCCCCACAUCGAGCUCUUUGCUGACAGCGCAGAGCCUGGAGCCUGCCUUGGAUUCUGUGUCUCCCUCUUUCUCUGCCCCUCCUCCGCUGGCUCUCUCUCUCUCUCUCUCUCAAAAAUAAUAUUUUUAAAUUUUAUUUAAAAAAAAAAACGUAGAGACUAGAACAAAUUCUGUAGAACAGACCAUGGCAGUUAGAAUCAGUGUGUGAGUUAAUACAUACUGCAUACAGUUAGUCUUAGAUUUGUGUGAAGUCUUAGAUUUGUGAAGAAGCAGUCUACUCCUAUUGGUGAAAUGGCCUGUAACUAUUAUUGUUUCCAUCUGUGUAGACAAUAUUUCUAAGAUCUGUGAAGAUCAGAAAGGUGUUCUAACCUGGGAAGGAAGUGAAAGAACUAGCUAAGGGGCCCAUAGGAAUGCUCAUUGCCUCUGUGCCCCAUUCCAGGGGAUGGUCGUCAUGGUAACCCAACCACAACUUGCUCCUGGUGGACACUGCAAACCCAGUGUUGGUGCAGAGAAUGUUUCACUAGGAUUCCACCCAUCCAUGAAAUGAAGGUCCAGUUAGGAAAGCCACAUCAGUGCCCUGCCUGUUCCACACAGCCUGUUAGGUCUCCAAAACAGCAGUGUAUAACUUUCUGUGGCUCUGCCUUUGAUCCUGACCAGGAAUUGCUGUAAAAUUUCAUGAUGCAGCUUCAAUUGAAUCUUAUUCAACUAUUAGUUGUCCUGAAAAUAGGCCACUAUCAAUAUCACAGAGGAUGGAUCAAAGGAAAGGAAAUGGUACAGUCUCUUUCUGGCUUUUUUUAAAAGUUCAUUUAUUUUUUUGGGGGGGGGAGCAGAGAGAGAGAGGGAAAGAGAGAGAAUCCCAAGCAGAAUCCGUGCUGCCAGCGCAGAGCCCAUCUCUGGGCUCAAUUUCUUGAACCAUGAGAUCAUGAUCUGAGCCAAAAUCAAGUCAGACGCUUAACCAACUGAGCCUCCCAGGCGCCCCUCCUUCUGGCAUUUUUAUAUGUAUAGUAUUCUUAAAAUCCACAAGGAUCAAUAUUAAUUUAUUCAGUCAACUAACUUUUAUUGAACAUCUCUGCCAGACAAUUACAUUCUGGUCAAUAUAGAGAUGAAUAAAUGAAUUAGACAUAAUUCCUAACCACAGUGAUUUUACAACUUUAAAGAAGAGACAGAGAUACAGAGAAAGUCAAAAUACAAUAAAUUGCCACAAUAGAGAUUAAAAAAAAAAAUUACCUUAAGCUACAAAGAAAAAUCUCAAAAAUCCCAACAAGCACAAAAUAAGCCACAUUUUUUCACACAAAUACAAUAAACCUGUAAACGGAAAAUAAAAAUUAGGUUAACCAAACAAAAAAAAACCACACUAAGACAUUUUUUAAAUGCCCUCUUAAAUAAUUCUUGGAGCAAAAGAAAAAAAGUAUGAUUACAUACCAUCAUUUAGAGAUAAAUAACAACUGAGAACUCAAUCAAAUCUUUAUUGAGGAAAGUUUUAGCCUCAAGUGCAUACUAACAUCAUGACUAAGGACAUAGGCUCAGUUCUGGAUCUGUCACUUACUAACUAUACAACCUUGGGUAAAUUAGUAAACUCUCUGGAUCUCUUUUCAUGGUGAGUAGGAGAGGGGCAGAGAGAGAGGGAGGCACAGAAUCCAAAGCAGGCUCCAGGCUCUGAGCUGUCAGCACAGAGUCCAACCCAGGGCUGGAAUCCAUGAACCGCAAGAUCGUGACCUGAGUGGAGAUCAGACAUUUAACUGACUGAGCCACCCAGGCAUCCCUACAACAGUGAUUUCUUAAGCAGGAAUGUGCUUCAGAAUUACCUAGAGUGGUUUUUUAAAAUAUUCAUGGCUGGCCCCAUCCAGGUUAUUCUGGGAAUUAGGGCACUGGUAUAUUUUUUAAAGUUUUAACUUGGAAAAAAAAACCUACAGAAAAAUCACAAUAAAAAUAUAAUCUUUACUUAGAUUUACCAAUUGUUAACAUUUUGCAGCUUGGAAGUAUGAGAUUCCACAUGCCCAAUGAAGAAAGGAGAAGCAGAUAUAGAUGGACACUGAUAUCUAUCUAUACCACAUUCAUGUCUCUGAAGCCUGGUCUCCCAGCAGAUGAACUGGCUACCCUUACCAAUUAGCUGUGCCUAGCGAGGGCAGGGGGUCAUGCACUGCAGACUGUGAGGACGUCAGCAGAAUAGGCUGCAGACAGGCUAGCCAGGUAAACAAAUCUAAAACCAACUAAUUACCUAAGGGCGCCAGGGUGGCUCAGUCGGCUAAGCAGCUGACUUCUGCUCAGGUCAUGAUCUCAGAGCUCGUGAGUUCCAGCAUAGCAUCGGGCUCUGUGCUGAUAACUCAGAGCCUGGAGCCUGCUUCGGUUUCUCUCUCUCUCUCUCUCUCUCUCUCUCUGCCCCUCCCCUUCUUGGACUCUGUCUCUCAAAAUUGAACGAGCGUAAAAAAAAAUUUUUAAACCAGCUAACUACGUAAGUUGCCUAGCAAAUAGCUGAGCAGUCAACUCAAGAAGCUAGGAAAAGAGGAAUAUCAUAAGCUAAGGAAAAGAGGAAAAAUUUAUGAAGCUGACUGUAGACACCAAUAAACCAGAAACCAGAAAAACAAUUGAAAUGAUUAUUCUAGGAGCUGUAUAAAUAAAUAAAUAAAUAAAUAAGCAAAUAAGCCAACUACUGGCACAGCUAAGCCAAGAGAAAAAGAUUACACAAGCCCUCCAGGUGGCAUGAGGAAAUGGCUAGAAACACAGGCACACAGGAAUUUUUUUUUAACUAUCUAAGAAUACUAGGGGCACCUGGGUGGCUCAAUCAGUUAAGUUUUCGACUUUGGCUCAGGUCAUGAUCUCACGGUUCCUGAGUUCGAACCAGGCUCUACAGUGCACUGUGGGAAAUCAAAUAGCUAUAUCCUGGGUUAGAUUAUAGGGAAUACAUUGCAAAGCAGAACACUGCUUUCUGGCCUUGCUGAAAACAGCAGACCAUGCUUAGCUUAUCUAGUUAAUGUGUAUCUAGGGAUUAGGUCCUGCCUAUGCUCAUAAAUUCCUUAGACCAUGUUAUCACAUGGAAUAUUUGAUCCUGUCUUAACUUGUUUUUCUGCACAUUUCUUUUUAUAUAUGAAUAUAUAUAAAAUUUAUUGUCAAGUUGGCUAACAUAUAGUGUAUACAGUGUGCUCUUGGUUUUGGGGGUAGAUUCCCGUGAUUCAUUGCUUACCUACAACACCCCACUGCUUAUCCAACAAGUGCCCUCCUCAAUGCCCAUCACCCAUUUUCCUCUCUCCCUCUCCAGCCCCAUCAACCCUCAGUUUGUUCUCUGUAUUUAAGAGUCUUUUAUUUUGCCUCCCUCCCUCUCUGUUUGUAACUAUUUUGCCCCUUCCCUUCCCCCAUAGUCUUCUGUUGAGUUUCUCAAGUUCCACAUGUGAGUUUCUGCACGUUUUCUAUACGUUGUUACUCACAUGUAGUCCACUGACAUAUUGCACAAGUUACCCUAAAUGUAUGCUCAAUAAAUACGGGAGGUUGAGAGCAGCUCAGGGACAUUUCCCUUAGCCUCCCUCUCACCUCUCUUAUGGAGUCUUGAGUAAUCCUUUCUGCCAUCCUCAGCUUUGUUGGACAAAGCCAAAAGCUGAACCCACACAGUGCAGAGCCUGGUCGGAUUUUCUGUCUCCCGCUUCUUCUGUCCCUCCCAGGCUCGUACUCUCUCUCAAAAAUAAAUAAACAUUAAAAAAGAAAAAAACAGAAUACUAAGUGAAACUUCAUAUAACUAAACCAAAAAAAUCUCAGUGCAAUUAAUAUUGUCUGGGAAAAUAUAAAUGAAUAUCAACCCAAAAUGACACAGAACACCUGAAGAAGACAAUAGCCACAGAAGAAACUGAAAAAGCAGUUGAAUAGAUGCCCCCUACCAAAAGACCUACAUUACACUCGAUUUACAAAAUUAGUUACUAAGACCUAACAACCUCACACAAGUUAUACAGAUGAAAAAUCCUAAAUAAAACAUCAAACCAGGGAUAGCAAAUAGCAGGAUGCUUGCCAUCACUGUCUUCUCUCCUCCAAUCCAGUGGCAAAUACCACUAAAUGAUCGCAGCCCUCUUUCUGGGACCUCUCAAGGCUCUGCAAGACAGCAUAUCUUGAGUGGUUUCUGCCAAAAGCACAGCGUCAGGGAGAGCUGGCAAAUGUUCUUUAUCACCCCUGAAUUGAGAGUUCAAUACGGGCAGAUACUUUAUCUGUCGAUAUUGUUCACAGUUGUAUCUCUAGCAUGAAGCACUGGUGUCUGGCACAUAAUAAAAAAAAAAAAAUCUAGCAAUAUUGUAAAUUUUUUUUAAGUUUAUUUAUUUUUGAGAGAGAGAGUGAGCAUGAGCGGGGAGGGGCAGAGAGAGAGGGAGACACAGAAUCCAAAGGAUCCAGGCUCUGAUCUGUCAGCACAGAGCCUGAAGUGGGGCUCAAACUCACAAACCAUGAGAUCCUGAGCUGAGCUGAAGUCAGACGCUUAACUGACUGAGCCACCCAGGCACCCCUAGCAAUAUUGUAAAAGAAUAAUAUACGUCAUGUUUCUAGGAUUACAGCAAUGAUUGAACUAGAAAAUCUAUCAAUGUAAUUAACAUGAAUACACCAAAGGAAAUAGCCAUUUCAUCACUCUAACAGACAUGGGGAAAUCAUUUAAAAAAUUAAAUAUCCAUUUGUGAUUUUUUUUUUAAAGAUAUUUUUGGGGCACCUGAGUUGCUCAGUCACUGAAGCGUCCCACUUCAGCUCAGGUCACGAACUUGCAGUCUGUGAGCAUGAGCCCCUUGUCAGGCUCUGUGCUGACAGCUCAGAGCCUGAGCCUGCUUCAGAUUCUGUGUCUCCUUCUCUCUCUCUCUCUCUCUCUCUCUCUCUCUCUCUCUCUCUUUCUGCCCCUCCCCCACUCGCACUCUGUGUCUCUCUCUGUCUCUCAAAAGUAAAUAAACAUUUAAAAAAUUGUUUUAAGAUCCUUUUUUUUUUUUUUAAGGAGGCUUCACUUCCAGUGUGAAGCCCAACCUGGGGUUUAAACUCACAGCCCUGAGAUCAAGACCUGAGCUGAGAUCAAGAGUCCAACACUCAACCGACUAAGCCACCCAGGCCCCCGCCAUUUGUGAACUUUUUAAGUUUAUUUGUUUAUUUUGAGAGAGAAAGCAUGUGUGCCAGAGGGAGUAGAGGCAGAGAGAGAGAGAGAACCCAAAGUAGGCUCUGCACCAGUAACGUGGAGCCUGAUGAGGAGCUCAAACUACAAACCCUGAGAUCAUUACCUGAACCAAAAACAAGAGUUGGAAGCUUUUUCUUUUAAUGUUUAUUUAUUUAAGAGAGAGACAGAGCAUGAGUGGAGGAGGGGUAGAGAGAGAGAGGGAAACACAGAAUCCAAACCAGGCUCCAGGCUCUUAGCUGUCAGCACAGAGCCUGAUGUGGGGAUCGAACUCACAGACCAAGAGAUCAUGACCUGAGCCAAAGUCAGACGCUUAAUUGACUGAGCCACCCAGGCACGCUCCCAUUUGUGAUUUUUAAAAAGGUUUUUAGUAAACCAGAAAUAGAAACAUGAUAAAGAAUAUUUGAAAUGAACAGCCAAUAUCAAACUACAUCCAAGAGAAAAUCCAGGGCCAGAACUGGCAAACAGAUCUCAUUCAUCAUACCAGUUCCAAUUAACUAGUCACUUAUGGGAAUAUUACUGUGAGGUUUCUGAAAAAGGGCUGUGGCUUAGCAAAAAAAAAAAAAAAAAAUACUAAGGAUUAGCUACAUUUGCCAUUGGCAUAAGCUGGAUGCCAGCGUGUAGAGUUGACAGUCCUUCACUUUAGGCAAUCUUACAGAAGUCAGAACCAAGACAAAACUGAUCGCUUUCACCCUUAUUAUUCAACAUUAUUCUAGACAGUCUAGACAGUGCAUGAAACCAAAACAAGUAAUAAGAACCAUAAGUGUUGGAAAAGAAGAAAAAGAUAUCUGCUUGACUGUAAACCCCUAAGAAGCCACUGAAAAACAAUGAGAAUAAGAGGAGUAUAAGAUGGCUUAUGACAUGAAAAAUAAAUUGCACUAUCAAUAGCUUUCUUACUAGCCAGCACUACUAGUUACACAACAUGCUAGGGGACUUCCACCUCCAGCAUUAUAGCAGAUUAUGUGUUCUUCAGCAAUUACCCAAAGCAAAUCAACUAUAUAAGGUUCAGGUAAUUAAUUGUGUGUUUACCUUUCAACAAUUUGACUAGAUUAUAAUCCACAGAGCAACCACCAAGAAAGUAACUAAAAUAUGUAAGUUUAAAAAAAGCAAAUAGGAAAACUAGAAUGGUAUGCUAAAAGAUAUUAGCUUAAACCAAACAGGUAGUAAAGGGGGAAUAGAGGAACAAAACACAUGAGGAACAUGAGGCAAUGAAAACGUAUGUCCAUACAAAACCUGUACGUGAAUAUUCAUAGGAGCAUCAUUCAUAAUAGCUAAAAAGUGGAAACAACCCAAAUGGCAAUCAGCCAAUGAACAAACACAGUACAUCCACACAAUGGAAUAUUAUUCAGCAAUAAAAAAAAAAUGAAGUACAGAUACAUGCUAUCACAUGGAUGAACCUUGAAAACGUUAUGCUGAGUGAAAAAAACAAGAUACCAAGAGACCAUAUAUUACAUGAUUCCAUAUAUUAAAUGUCCAGAAGAGGUAAAUCUAUACAAUGAGAAAGUUAACUAACCAUUGCCUAGGACUGUGGGGCAGGAUAUAGGGAGUGACUGCCAAUGGACAUGAGGUUUCUUCUUGGAAUGAUGAAAAUAUUCUAGAAUUAAUUGUGAUGAUCGUUGCAAAAUUGUGCAUAUAACAAAAACUACUGAAUUUUACACCUUAAAUGGGUGAAUUAUGUGGCCUUUGAAUUAUAUUUCAAUACAAAACUGAUAAAAAAUAAAACUGUAAAAUACCCUAAAAAGCAACCCAAAUCUAAUAAGGUAGAAGAAGGAGGAGUGGGGGAGGGGAGGAGGGGAAGGAGAAGGAGAAGAAAAAGAAAAACGUCAAGAGCAAGUUAAGUUUAUUCUAUAAAUGCAAAGUUGGUUUAAUUUUAGAAAAUUAAUUAAAGUAAUGUAUCAUUGUUUAGAAAUCUUUUUUCUCCCUUCCUCCCAUCCCUGCUAUAGACAGUAUACUUUGGGCUUGGCCAUAUGACUUGCUUUCGUCACUGGAAUGUUGACAGACAUGACAUGACCCUAAGGCAUGAAAAGCAGUUGCAAAACCGUACUUGUCUUCUUACCCUUCUUCUAGCACAAUGAGAAGAACAUUCUGAGGCUAUCAGUGGGUCCCAGGAAGAACAAGAGACAGAUGGCAUAUAGCCAAACACUGUAGCCAAUUCUAGUUUAGAAUGCUGACUCAAAUCAAUAGAUUUAUGAGAAUAAGUACUUGUUUUAUGCCACUGGGUUUUUUUAAAUGUUUAUUUAUUUUUGAGAGAGAGAAAGAGAGGGUGAGCAGGCAAGGGGUAGAGGAAGAAGGAGACACAGAAUCCGAAGCAGGCUCCAGGCUCCAAGCUGUCAGCACAGAGCCCAAUGCAGGGCUCAAACUCAUGAACCAUGAGAUCAUGACCUGAGCCGAAGUUGGACGCUUAACUGACUGAGCCACCCAGGUGCCCCUAUGCCACUGGGUUUUGAUGUGAUUAGUUACAUGCCACUUAAUGUGAUAAGAACUAACUAGAAUAGGUAGCUACAAAAAAAUCCCACAGUAAACAUGAAACCUAAUAGUGAAAAAUUAAGGGGCACCUGGGUGGCUCAGUCAGUUAAGUGUCUGACUCUUGAUUUUGGCUCAGGUCAUGAUUUCACAGUUUGUGAGUUUGAGCCCCACAUCCAGUUCUGCCCCAAUAGCAAGGAGCCUACUUGGGAUUCUCUGUCUCCCUCUAUCUCUGCCCUUUUCCUGCACUCUCUCUCAAAAAUGAAUAAAUAGACUUUAUAAAAAAAAAA